UCCGCUGUCUUUCUGCUAGCUUGUGGCUGGGCAGGCUUGAACGGUUCGUGGUGUCCUGCUCUGAGCUCUGCUGUGGGUGCUGUGAGCUGACCUCAAGUAAUGUCUGAAAUCGAGACAUGGAUGCAGUGAGUUAUGAAGAUGUGCAUGUGAACUUCACUGCGGAAGAGUGGAAUUUGCUGGAUCCUUUACAAAAGAGCCUUUACAAAGAUGUAAUGCUGGAAACCUACUGGAACCUCACUGUUAUAGGCUACAAUUGGGAAUACCAUCAUAUUGAAGAACAUUGUCGAAGUUCCAGAAGAUAUGAAAGGCAUGUAAGAAGUCAUAGUGAAGAGAAACCCUAUGAAUGUAAUCAAUGUGGUAAAGCCUUUUCAUAUCCCCGUCAUCUCCAAUAUCAUAUAAGAAGACAUACUGGAGAGACACCUUAUGAAUGUAAUCAAUGUGGUAAAGCCUUUGCAAGACCCACUUAUCUCCAAAGACAUAAAAGAACACAUACUGGAGAGAAACCUUAUGAAUGUAAUCAAUGUGGUAAAGCCUUUUUAUUUCCCAGUGAUCUGCGAUAUCAUAAAAGAAGACAUACUGGAGAGAAACCUUAUGAAUGUAAUCAGUGUGGUAAAGCCUUUUCACAACCCAGUCAUCUCCAAUAUCAUAAAAGAACACAUACUGGAGAGAAACCUUAUGAAUGUAAUCAAUGUGGUAAAGCCUUUUCUCAUCAGAGUACUCUCCAAUAUCAUAAAAGAAUACAUACUGGAGGAAAACCUUAUGAAUGUAAUCAAUGUGGUAAAGCCUUUUCACGUCAGAGUAGUCUCCAGUAUCAUAAAAGAAUACAUACUGGAGAGAAACCUUAUGAAUGUAAUCAAUGUGGUAAAGCCUUUGCAAGACCCAGUUAUCUCCAAAUUCAUAAAAGAAUACAUACUGGAGAGAAACCUUAUGAAUGUAAUCAAUGUGGUAAAGCCUUUUCACAUCAGGGUGGUCUUCAAUAUCAUAAAAGAACUCAUACUGGAGAGAAACCUUAUGAAUGUAAUCAAUGUGGUAAAGCCUUUUCACAUCAGAGUGGUCUCCAAUAUCAUAAAAGAACACAUACUGGAUAGAAAUCUUAUGAAUGAAAUCAAUGUGGUAAAGCCUUUGCAAGACUCAAUAAUCUCAAAGAUCAUAAAAGAAUACAUACCAGAGAGAAGCCUUAUGAGUAUAAUUAAUGUUGUAAAGCCUUUCUAUGUUACAGUACUCUCCAAUAGCAUAGAAGAAAGCAUACAGGAGAUACACCAUAAGAAUGUAAUCAGUGUGGUAAAACCUAUUCAGAUGAGAGAUGUCUCAAAAGAUAUAAAAGAAGACAUAUUGGAGAAAAACCUUAUGAAUGUAACUAAUGUGAUAAAAGCUUUUUCUAAAAGUUCUUGUAUCCAAAACCACAAAAGAACCCAUAUUGGAGAAAACUUUACAAAUGUAAUCAAUGUGCUAAAGCCUUUGCAUUUCUCACUAGUCUUGAAAUCAUUAAAGACUCCACACUGGAAAGAAACCUCAUGAAUGUAAUCAAUAUGGCAAAAAAGUUUGUACAACUUUGUAAUCUCCAUUGUAGUGGGUGGGUGGAAGAACACUCACAUAUGAUGGGUGCCAGUGAGUGGAAUGUGCUAGUUUGAAUAUAUUUGGCCCAGGGAGUAGCACUAUCAGGAAUUGUGGCUGUGUUGAAGAUAGUCCACCACAGUGGGGGUGAGCUUGAAGUUCAACCCCAUGCUCAAGAGACCCUCCUACCUGCUGCCAAGAAGACAGUCUCUUCCUGGGUCCUUACAUCAAGAUGCAGAUCUCUUAGCUUCUUCUUCAGCAUUAUGUUUUCUUGUAAGCCAACCAUGCUUCCUGCUAUAAUGAAAAUGGAGCAAACCUCUGAAACUGUAAGCCAGCCCCAAUUAAAUGUUUGCUUUUAUAAGAGUUGCCUUUGUUGUGCAAUCUUUUCCUAGCAAUGGCAAUGCUAAGACAAAAACUCUGUGAAAGUAUUUAAUAUGGUGAAGCCUUUGCAGAGUCCUGUAGUCUUCCAGGUCAUGUAUGAAUUAGUACUAGGGAGAAACUUUAUUAAUGUAUUUAGUAUGGUAAGGCCUUGGCUCACCUCUGUAUUCCUUAUCAUUAUGAAUCUAUUCAUACAGUGCUUUGCUUCAUCACAAGUUGUUCACAUAAAAGAAAGCAAGAUGUAAGGCUUGAAUACAAAAAACCUAUCCAUAUUGGUAGUAUCAUCUGUGAAGAUUAGUAAAUGCUCUCCAGAUAAAGGAAUUAUAUCACUUGGGGUGGACUUGAGUGUUUACAUAUGUACACCAUUUCUAGUUGCCACUCUGCUUUAUGCUGCAGAUUAAGGAUGGAAACUCUGAGCUUUCUGGUUUAGAUGCCAUGUGAGAGACUUGUUCAAUUGCUAUUUUCAUGCUGACCACAUAUCUGUUUGAAACUAUAAACAAAAUAAAGUUUUCUUUCAACUUUUUUUUUUUAAAAUGUCAUAGGACCAGAAAAGGCACUAAUGCACAUCCUAAAAUUUUACACUUGGAUGAGUUAUUUUCUGUAAUUAAUGAGAUUUGUAAAAUCUAAAAGGCUUACUUUACUGUUUGAAUUCAUAGGGCUUUUGUCCUUAGGAGCUUGAAGUAAAAAAAAAAAAUACAGAAGGAUACCUCAAUAAUUCCUUCUCCAGAAUAAAUAAUCUUGUGUACCUCUAA
This is an RNA transcript of Mastomys coucha (southern multimammate mouse), 2684 nucleotides long. It is a transcript of the gene named zinc finger protein 709-like, with no coding region annotated. The record is from RefSeq and is a predicted model, not a curated record. The transcript is spliced from 4 exons. NCBI's taxonomy places the organism in Eukaryota, Metazoa, Chordata, Mammalia, Rodentia, Muridae.